UACGUAGGGUGCGAAGCGUUGUCCGGAAUUAUUGGGCGUAAAGAGCUCGUAGGCGGUCUGUCGCGUCGGAUGUGAAAACCCAGGCUGCACCUCGGGCCUGCAUUCGAUACGGGCAGACUAGAGUUCGGUAGGGGAGACGUGGAAUUCCUGGUGUAGCGGUGAAAUGCGUAGAGAUGUGGAGGAACACCGAUGGCGAAGGCAGCCCCUGGGUCAAGAUUGACGCUCGAUGCACGAAAGCGUGGGGAGCAAACAGG
This 254-nucleotide ribosomal RNA is filed under the name uncultured bacterium. RNAcentral's name for it is "partial 16S ribosomal RNA". It matches the Rfam family "Bacterial small subunit ribosomal RNA", at positions 524 to 776 of the family's 1533-position model. The record is from RNAcentral.